RNAcentral lists this ribosomal RNA (500 nucleotides) under uncultured bacterium. Its description in RNAcentral is "bacterial SSU rRNA". It matches the Rfam family "Bacterial small subunit ribosomal RNA", at positions 10 to 518 of the family's 1533-position model. The record is from RNAcentral.
AGUUUGAUUCUGGCUCAGGAUGAACGCUGGCGGCGUGCUUAACACAUGCAAGUCGAACGGGAAUUACAUUUUAGCUUGCUAAGUUGUAAUUCUAGUGGCGGACGGGUGAGUAACGCGUGGGUAACCUGCCUUAUACAGGGGGACAACAGUUGGAAACGACUGCUAAUACCGCAUAAGCGCACAGAUAGGCAUCUAUCAGUGUGAAAAACUCCGGUGGUAUAAGAUGGACCCGCGUCUGAUUAGCUAGUUGGUGAGGUAACGGCCCACCAAGGCGACGAUCAGUAGCCGGCCUGAGAGGGCAAUCGGCCACAUUGGGACUGAGACACGGCCCAAACUCCUACGGGAGGCAGCAGUGGGGAAUAUUGCACAAUGGAGGAAACUCUGAUGCAAGCGACGCCGCGUGAGUGAAGAAGUAUUUCGGUAUGUAAAGCUCUAUCAGCAGGAAAGAAAAUGACGGUACCUGACUAAGAAGCCCCGGCUAACUACGUGCCAGCCGCUGC